GCCCUUAUUACCGCGGCUGCUGGCACGUAGUUAGCCGUGGCUUUCUGGUCAGAUACCGUCAAGGCUGGAGCAGUUACUCUCCAACUUGUUCUUCUCUGACAACAGAGUUUUACGAUCCGAAAACCUUCUUCACUCACGCGGCGUUGCUCCGUCAGACUUUCGUCCAUUGCGGAAGAUUCCCUACUGCUGCCUCCCGUGGGAGUCUGGGCCGUGUCUCAGUCCCAGUGUGGCUGAUCGUUCUCUCAAACCAGCUACCCGUCGUAGCCUUGGUGGGCCGUUACCCCACCAACUAGCUGAUAGGCCGCGAGACCCUCCUAGAGCGAAAUUCUUUCCUCAGUCGGCAUGCGACCAACUGAGGGUAUGCGGUAUUAGCUCGAGUUUCCCCGAGUUAUUCCCCACUCCAGGGCAGGUUUCUCACGUAUUACUCACCCGUUCGCCACUAGAUCUUCCCGGGAAGCAAGGCUCCCAUGGAUCUCGGUUCGACUUUGG
RNAcentral lists this ribosomal RNA (489 nucleotides) under uncultured bacterium. Its description in RNAcentral is "partial 16S ribosomal RNA". The record is from RNAcentral.